Molecule: long non-coding RNA, 6062 nt
Organism: Alligator mississippiensis (American alligator)
Lineage: Eukaryota; Metazoa; Chordata; Crocodylia; Alligatoridae
Exons: 11
Source: RefSeq, a predicted model, not a curated record
ACUUUGCCAGGUUGUUUCCACUACGAUGUGAAAUAGGUGAUGUCGGGCGUGUUUGUGUGGCCCUGACCUGCUUGCUUACUGAGAGCGUGCCCAGUGCUCUGCUUCCCAAUGCCCAGGAAAAACAAACCAAAGGAAACAUUGUCCUUUCUCACAGGGCAUUCAUAGAUAAGCUCUGGGAGGCGGAGGGGGGAGCAUUUUAAUUAACGCAGCUCCGAGAGCCGCGCUAAUUAAAGUGCCCGCAGCGUCAUGUAUAUCAGCAUCCCCACACUGAAAAUGGCAGCGGGGCGCUUGGAACUAAAGAUCAUUGAGCGAGCUUUAGUUUGAAGCAUCCCACCGCCAUUUUGCAGCACAGGGACACUGAUACAUGCUGGAGCGUGGUAAUUACCACAUUGCAGGGAUUAAUUGAGUCUGCUCCCACGCGCUGUAAUGACUGUGUUGGAGCAGCCUCGCUGCACAUGUAUACAGGAGCCCACGUACUCCAAGCCUGCUCUUCCAGACAAUUCCUGCUCCAGGUUUAUCUACCUCUCUUUGAUCUCCACCAAGUAAACCAUUGCCGCUGAGCAGCAUUUAAUUGCCCUCCCUGCUCCCUCCUUAAUUUAGCCUAAAUGAUAGGUUGGUACCUUUGGCUUCAAAUAGGUCUGUGAUUGAUGACAGUGGAGACAUUGCUACACCGCAGCGUAUUACAUUUCUCAGGAAUGCGUGCACAUUCUCCUCCUACUGGGAGUCUGACUAUAAAACCAUCUUUAUGGGAAGAUGUUAACAAAGAAAGAUCCAGUCCAUGCAUUUAUAGCAGAGACCCAGCUGCCUAGUAAAGCUGAAUUAAAAUGCUUUCAGUAAGUGAGGUCCUUGUCACCCUAUUUGUAUCUCUUGUGUCUGUGUAGUUUCUGAAGAUGCUGCGGGCUCGCAGAUGACUUUCUCCAAGACCAGUUCCAUUCCCAGUCUUUGGAAACCUCUUGCAGCUCAACUUUAAAUUUGAUCAUGAGGGCCUCAAAAAGCCAUAUCAGUGGAACUAGCUGAAAAUUAUAAAAUUUGUAAACUCAGUAGGAGCAAGAAGAAAAAUUCAGAGGAAACAUCUUUGAAGUGUUUAUGGAGCCAAAUCACGCGGUAUUAUGUUCUCAAUGGUCGAGCCUGGAAGCAGCAGAGACGUUUUUGAUUCAUAAAUCGUGAUCCUGCAGAAACUGGGAACGGGGAAGGAGCACCGAAUACAGGAGGAGGCCUGCCACGUGGUGGAGCACUUGGACAGCAUGAAAGGAAGAUCUCUGGACCCCCCCCUGCCCCUGGGCCGUGCUGUCAUGCAUGUGAUCUCUGCUGUGGCUUUUGGAUGUCGCUUCUCCAUAGAGGAUGAAAACUUCCACCGGCUAAUUGGAGCCACUGAUGAUAUAAUUGCAUUUGGAAACAGUUUCUACUAUUAUAGGAAGUCCAGUAGGAGUUGGAUACUGUGCUGAGUCCCUUCCAUGUAAUCUGCUAUGAAGAUUGCAAGAAACUGCCCUACACAAAUGCUGUGAUUCACGAGAUGCUGCGUUACAGCAGAAUUGUCUUAAUUGGACUUCCUGGGACAAGUCGGAGGAACACAGAUCUGCUGGGAUUUCCAAUUCAAAAGAAGAGAAAACAAGAACCCCUACCACGGACAAGGAGGUGGACUAUAUGACCUCUCACAGUGCCUUCCAGCCUUACUUCUCUGUGACUGUAUGAACCAUAUUCAUAGUGACAUGCAAGAUGAUUGAGAGGGAGAAAAGGCAUUGGCGAGAAGAGAGGGCAAUCACAGGCAUGUGGCAUGGCUGCAAAGCACCCCUGGCACCCCCUUGAAAUCUGGAGCAAGGAGAAAAGGAGCGUCAGCAUGAAUUUGGUGAGGUGUUGCUGUUGGAGAAAGUGAAGUCUCUUCAAUGGCAAAAAUUCAUGGCAACAUCUUCACUUUGUGGCUGGCACAUGUCCCUGUGGUCGUGCUGCAUGGAUUCUAGGCAGUGAAGGAUGGUCUGACCACCCACGCAGAAGAUAUUUCUGCAUGGCCAAGAAGUGCUGCCUUCAAUAGGUUCACAAAUGGAAAGGGUAUUAUGUUCUCAAUGGUCGAGCCUGGAAGCCGUAGAGACUUUUUUGAUUCAUAAAUCAUGAUCCUGCAGAAACUGGGAACGGGGAAGGAGCACCGAAUACAGGAGGAGGCUUGCCACGUGAUGGAGCACUUGGACAGCAUGAAAGGCAAUCAAGGUUUUCCAGUGCUGAAAUGCAACUCUUGCAGUCCAGGCGUUGACUGUGUCAUCACACUGUGUCCUGCUGGAGCGAGGAAUUCCUGAUGGUGUUAAUCAAGUAAUCUCUUAAUAAAAAUGUAUUUCAUUUCACGUACAGGCUAACUAACCACAAUACAGCUGAGAAGACAUUUACUUUUUUACAAAUGAUUCCAAAGUCUUCUCUAUGAAAUGUAGUAGUAGUAAUAAUUAAAAAAAACCCAAAAACCAGAGGGUCAUAUGUGACAACUACACUGGGGUGGAGCACAUUUCUUAAGUGUAAUAUUAAAUUAAUCUCUUAAUAAGCAGUUACUGUUGUAUUCCCAGUUCUCUCCCAAGCUCCAAAUAGAAACCCACAAAAUGGUGUGAUCUCAACUCAGCCCUGCCUGAUGGGGACUGGGGAGGUAGGAAGUCUUCACCAUCCUGCUUGUGUCUAUAUAAAGACAUUAUCUGAACUUGUAACCUACACAUUAGUAAAACCUCAAAUUAUAAGUAUACCUUUGCAUGGGAGGUGGAAUAUAGUCUUAUCUUUUUCUUUACUUUUAUAUACUUCUAUACUUUCUUUACUUAACAAUAAGGAUUUUGUUUGUGCAUGUUCAUAUUUUAUUCUUAUCACUAUAAUAAAUGAAAGGGAACUGAAAAGGAUGAGUGAUAAAUAUACAGGUGCAGGUAUAUUUAAUGUUGAACAUUUCUCCUCAGAAAAAGUCCAGCAGGAGCUGGAUGCUGUGCUGGGUCCCUUCCAUGUAAUCUGCUAUGAAGACUGCAAGAAACUGCCCUACACAAAUGCUGUGAUUCAGGAGAUCCUGCGUUACAGUAGAAUUGUCUUAAUUUAAAUUCCCAGGGCAAGUGUGAAGGACACAGAUCUGCUGGGGUUUUCAGUCCCAAAGAUACAGGGCCGUGAGCUGCUUGGAUAUGCUCCUCUUGCCUCUCUCCCAAGUGUACUAUGAUGUAUUUCUUACAUUAAUUUUUUGAGUUUCUCCCAGCGGUGCUGAUUCAGGGAAGCAUCCAUAUUCAGAAGAAAGCACUGAACUACUUCAAAGCAUACAAAACAUAAAAAUACUGAAGCUGAGUUUAAACCAGUGGGUCUUAGGAUGUGGCCAUGCAUACAUUUUAGCUGCUUUAAAAGGGGUGGGGUAGCUGUCUCUUAGAAGUGCACAGCGUAUGGAUCAGAAGGUUACCUCUGCACGAGCCUCUAGCCAUAGAAGUUGGCCAGAUCACCCUAACACUGACCUGGAAUGAAGUAGUGUAGAAAUUGGGAGUGUUUUUGCUGCAUUUGUAUUGUGACAGCAUCAUGCAGAUAUAUUGUUUGCAUUGUAACAGCUUGUAUUAAUACCCCUUGAUAGUGAUCUGAUUGUUAUAUCCCUUGGGCACAUGUUUAGGAUUAAACAUGUGUAAACGUGUUUUUUCUGAAUAAGGAUGCACUGAAAUACUUUGUUACUUGAGGACCUGAAUGUUUGUAUCUUACAAAUGUUGACAGAGCCCAACAAGAGCUAUUGUCCCUGUGGCACAGUGGGCACUUACAGAUGUGCAGGCCUCUGCUCUAACUCAUUGCACUUUACAUAAAGUGCAAUGAGUUAGAUCCCCCUUCACCCCUCCCCCACCCACAGACAUUUUCUUGUUGUGUCGGCGGAGGGGGGGAGAAAGGGAAUCAAGCCUGCCUGUAGGAACCUAAGGAGCUGCCCCUUUCCCCCAGCCCCACCCCCGGUUCCCACCCCCAUGGCUGUCUGCAAUAAGGGAGCGGGGAGGCAGAGAGAGCUGCCAGCUGGGGUUUGCCUGGCUGGAGCUGGAGGAGAGGAGGAGCUGGGUGGGGGCAUGAGGCAGGGAGGGCUCCCAGCCCCCCACCCCCUCCAGCCCAGGCCAAGCAAACCCCAGCCAGCACCUCACUCCCUCUCCUCCCUCCCUUCCUGCUGACAGCCCCAGGGGUGGGGCUGGGCUGCAUCAGCCUAGCCCCAGUCGCAUGACAAAUUAACCCUAGGGAAUGCAAGUACCCUAAGGUGCUCUAAAGUGGAGCGCCUUCAUCUGAUACCUCAUUUGAUGAGGGUUAAUUAGUUGCACUCUUGGCCACUUUAAAAGAGCUCUGCAACUGUGCACUUGUGUCACGGCAUGACACUAGAACGCUUUCAGGGGGCCGAUCACGUGAAAAAUGUAACUUCUGUCUCCACCCAAUAUUAUAAAUGACCUCUGUGUCUUAAAUGUGAACAGUUCUGAAUUUUGGUCUGUGCCAAUGGGAGGUUUGGAAAUGACUGUAGAAAACACGCACAUUAAUCCCCAGUAUGUUCUGAUCUGCUCCUAGUGAGCCGUGUUUCUCAUCCUGUCACUAGAGCUGGUCAGAAAGGGGAAAAAGAUCACUGUGAGAUGUGACAUUUAAAAGUUAUUGUCAUGCCAUUUUUGUCCAAAAUGACUUCUCUUUUUUUCUUUCUUAAGAAAAGAAAGAAUUUCCUUUGAAAAAAUUAGAAUUUUUGGUUUCUCAUUUUCCACCUUUUUUGUUUUUCUGGUGAAUUGUGGUAUCGUACACAACGCACGGAAAUAGUUUAUUUUUUGUUUUCCAUACAGCCUUGUUUGUUCAUGUACUUAUUUUGCUAGUCUGUAACGUUCAAACAUUUUUGACUUGACCAAAGAUAGAGAAAAGCAAAAGAGGAAAAGGAAACUCUUUAACUCCAGUCUCAUAGAAGUUUUCAGAAGUUGGAGAAUUUUUAAAAGCAGUAAAAGUUAAAAACCAGAAUUAAAAGAGUGAACAGAAUAAACCCCUAGACCUUAUUCAUUUUGUUGCAUCCAGCAACAAAGAAUCCAGCAUCCAUAGCAAAAAGAAAUACGCAGGGGAAAAAAGCACGGGGGCGGGAGGAGGGGGGGCAGUCAAAACAUGAAGCGCCAGAUUUUCCAAUUUUGCAAAAAAAACCCCCCAAACCCCUGAAAAAAUAGAAAAAGUUUUUUUUUAAAUUGUAGUUUCAAAGCAAGGUCUCAUUUAGUGUAAAAAAUAUUUUAGUAAAGAAUUUCAGUGAGCUCUGCGUGUGAAGGUCUCUACGGUGCAGUAAAUUAUAACUGACUGCUCUCCAUUUCUGCCUUCACUGAUUAAUCUGAUGGACUGAACCGGUGAAACACAACUGAAGCAACAGCUGUUUCUUUGCCGAACACCUUUAUUUUAGCAAAUAUCGACUCUGUUCUUUCGGACCCUGGGCAAUGGGAGACACCUGAAGAGUUCAACCCGAACCACUUCCUGGACAAGGAUGGAAACUUUGUGAGCCAAGAAGCCUUCUUGCCGUUGUCCACAGGGCACCGGGUGUGUGUGGGGGAGCUACUGGCAAGGAUGGAGCUCUUCCUCUUUUUAACCCACCUGCUGCGGGCAUUCACAUUCACCCUGCCGGAGGGAGUGACGGAAGUCAACAUGGGUAUCGUUUUUGGGUCCACAAUGAAACCCCAUCCAUAUAAGCUCUGUGCGAUUCGUCGCUAGACUGCAGCACGUCCUGGAUCAGGAGAAAGCCAUUCAGCAGGAUUGACUCCUACGGGGAAUUUCCUCCUUCCAUGUCUUUCAUCCUUUUGCACUUCAUGUCCUGAAGUGAGUGUUAGUCUGUCCCACUGAGGGACGCUGUCUCAAGGUAUUGCACCCUGAGCAAUGCACCUGGAAGCUGCUUCUGCUUCACGAUUGCCUUGUUCUCAGAAAGUCUUUACGAAUUCUUCUCUAAGAGGGUCCUAAUGAAAAUAAUGAGAAAGAAGUUAAAAAUUGACUUUGGUCCUGGUCAGGACUCUGGUACUGGAAGCUAAAAUGUGAGGAGGUGGAAGCCACAAUGUAUUAUACACAGAAGAUGCCUUGGUUGCAAAUAUAAUAAAUCCUCCUGUUUAACCAUG